UACGUAGGGGGCAAGCGUUGUUCGGAAUUAUUGGGCGUAAAGGGUGCGUAGGCGGUUUGGUAAGUCUUAUGUGAAAUCUACAGGCUCAACUUGUAGUCUGCAUGAGAAACUGCCGGGCUUGAGUAUGGGAGAGGUGAGUGGAAUUCCUGGUGUAGCGGUGAAAUGCGUAGAUAUCAGGAGGAACACCAGUGGCGAAGGCGACUUCCUGGCCUGUUCUUGACGCUGAGGCGCGAAAGCUAGGGUAGCAAACGGG
This 253-nucleotide ribosomal RNA is filed under the name uncultured bacterium. RNAcentral describes it as "partial 16S ribosomal RNA". It matches the Rfam family "Bacterial small subunit ribosomal RNA", at positions 524 to 776 of the family's 1533-position model. The record is from RNAcentral.